This 454-nucleotide ribosomal RNA is filed under the name uncultured bacterium. Its description in RNAcentral is "bacterial SSU rRNA". It matches the Rfam family "Bacterial small subunit ribosomal RNA", at positions 340 to 786 of the family's 1533-position model. The record is from RNAcentral.
UACGGGAGGCAGCAGUGGGGAAUAUUGCACAAUGGGCGAAAGCCUGAUGCAGCUAUGCCGCGUGUAUGAAGAAGGCCUUAGGGUUGUAAAGUACUUUCAUCGGGGAGGAAAAACAAAACUAAUAAUUUUAUUUCUUGACGUUACCCGAAAAAGAAGCACCGGCUAACUCCGUGCCAGCAGCCGCGGUAAUACGGAGGGUGCUAGCGUUAAUCAGAAUUACUGGGCGUAAAGAGCACGUAGGUGGUUUUUUUAAGUCAGAUGUGAAAUCCCUGGGCCUAACCUGGAACUGCAUUUUGAAACUGAAAUACUAGAGUAUCGUAGAGGGAGGUAGAAUUCUAGGUGUAGCGGUGAAAUGCGUAGAUAUCUGGAGGAAUACCUGUGGCGAAAGCGGCCUCCUAAACGAAUACUGACACUGAGGUGCGAAAGCGUGGGGAGCAAACAGGGAUUAGAUACC